GAUGAAGAACGUAGCGAAAUGCGAUACGUAAUGUGAAUUGCAGAAUUCAGUGAAUCAUCGAAUCUUUGAACGCAUAUUGCGCUCUCUGGUAUUCCGGAGAGCAUGCUUGUUUGAGUAUCAGUAAACACCUCAACUCCCUUUUCUUUUUUGAAAUUAGAGCUGGACUUGAGUGAUCCCAACGCUUUCUUCCAAGAAAGUGGCGGGUUGCUUGAAAUGCAGGUGCAGCUGAACUUUUCUCUGAGCUAUAAGCAUAUCUAUUUAGUCUGCCUAAAAAACAGAUUAUUACCUUUGCUGCAGCUAACAUAAAGGAGACUAGUUCUUGUGCUGACUGAUGCAGGAUUCACAGAGACAGCUUCGGCUGACUUUGUAAACUCGAUCUCAAAUCAAGUAAGACUACCCGCUGAACUUAAGCAUAUCAAUAAGCGGAGGA
RNAcentral lists this unclassified non-coding RNA (430 nucleotides) under soil metagenome. RNAcentral describes it as "partial contains 5.8S ribosomal RNA, internal transcribed spacer 2, and large subunit ribosomal RNA". The stretch from base 1 to 120 matches the Rfam family "5.8S ribosomal RNA", at positions 35 to 154 of the family's 154-position model. The record is from RNAcentral.